This 447-nucleotide ribosomal RNA is filed under the name uncultured bacterium. RNAcentral describes it as "bacterial SSU rRNA". It matches the Rfam family "Bacterial small subunit ribosomal RNA", at positions 355 to 825 of the family's 1533-position model. The record is from RNAcentral.
UCGGGAAUUUUGGGCAAUGGGCGAAAGCCUGACCCAGCAACGCCGCGUGAAGGAUGAAGUAUUUCGGUAUGUAAACUUCGAAAGAAUAGGAAGAAUAAAUGACGGUACUAUUUAUAAGGUCCGGCUAACUACGUGCCAGCAGCCGCGGUAAUACGUAGGGACCAAGCGUUGUUCGGAUUUACUGGGCGUAAAGGGCGCGUAGGUGGUUAUGCAAGACAGAUGUGAAAUCCCCGGGCUCAACCUGGGAACUGCAUUUGUGACUGUAUAGCUAGAGUACGGUAGAGGGGGAUGGAAUUCCGCGUGUAGCAGUGAAAUGCGUAGAUAUGCGGAGGAACACCGAUGGCGAAGGCAAUCCCCUGGACCUGUACUGACGCUCAUGCACGAAAGCGUGGGGAGCAAACAGGAUUAGAUACCCCAGUAGUCCCUGAGCGGGCUGGCAAGGCGCAU